GAUGAACGCUGGCGGCGUGCUUAACACAUGCAAGUCGAACGGGAUCGGCUGGAGCUUGCUCCGGCCGUGAGAGUGGCGAACGGGUGAGUAAUGCGUGACCGACCUGCCCCAUACACCGGAAUAGCUCCUGGAAACGGGUGGUAAUGCCGGAUGCUCCAGUUGACCGCAUGGUCCUCUGGGAAAGCUUUUGCGGUAUGGGAUGGGGUCGCGUCCUAUCAGCUUGAUGGCGGGGUAACGGCCCACCAUGGCUUCGACGGGUAGCCGGCCUGAGAGGGCGACCGGCCACAUUGGGACUGAGAUACGGCCCAGACUCCUACGGGAGGCAGCAGUGGGGAAUAUUGCACAAUGGGCGCAAGCCUGAUGCAGCGACGCCGCGUGCGGGAUGACGGCCUUCGGGUUGUAAACCGCUUUUGACUGGGAGCAAGCCCUUCGGGGUGAGUGUACCUUUCGAAUAAGCACCGGCAA
This 465-nucleotide ribosomal RNA is filed under the name uncultured bacterium. RNAcentral describes it as "bacterial SSU rRNA". It matches the Rfam family "Bacterial small subunit ribosomal RNA", at positions 28 to 499 of the family's 1533-position model. The record is from RNAcentral.